GAUGAACGCUGGCGGCGUGCCUAAUACAUGCAAGUCGAGCGAACAGAUGAGGAGCUUGCUCCUCUGACGUUAGCGGCGGACGGGUGAGUAACACGUGGAUAACCUACCUAUAAGACUGGGAUAACUUCGGGAAACCGGAGCUAAUACCGGAUAAUAUAUUGAACCGCAUGGUUCAAUAGUGAAAGACGGUUUUGCUGUCACUUAUAGAUGGAUCCGCGCCGCAUUAGCUAGUUGGUAAGGUAACGGCUUACCAAGGCAACGAUGCGUAGCCGACCUGAGAGGGUGAUCGGCCACACUGGAACUGAGACACGGCCCCGACUCCUAGGGGAGGCAGCAGUAGGGAAUCUUCCGCAAUGGGCGAAAGCCUGACGGAGCAACGCCGCGUGAGUGAUGAAGGUCUUCGGAUCGUAAAACUCUGUUAUUAGGGAAGAACAAAUGUGUAAGUAACUAUGCACGUCUUGACGGUACCUAAUCAGAAAGCCACGGCUAACUACGUG
This 497-nucleotide ribosomal RNA is filed under the name uncultured bacterium. RNAcentral describes it as "partial 16S ribosomal RNA". It matches the Rfam family "Bacterial small subunit ribosomal RNA", at positions 28 to 507 of the family's 1533-position model. The record is from RNAcentral.